Molecule: ribosomal RNA, 253 nt
Filed under: uncultured bacterium
Lineage: Bacteria
Description: partial 16S ribosomal RNA
Rfam family: Bacterial small subunit ribosomal RNA
Source: RNAcentral
UACGUAGGGGGCAAGCGUUAUCCGGAAUUACUGGGUGUAAAGGGAGCGUAGACGGUAAUGUAAGUCUGGAGUGAAAGGCGGGGGCCCAACCCCCGGACUGCUCUGGAAACUAUGUUACUAGAGUGCAGGAGAGGAGAGUGGAAUUCCAUGUGUAGCGGUGAAAUGCGUAGAUAUAUGGAGGAACACCGGUGGCGAAAGCGGCUCUCUGGCCUGUAACUGACACUGAGGCUCGAAAGCGUGGGGAGCAAACAGG